Long non-coding RNA from Ceratosolen solmsi marchali, 806 nucleotides. RefSeq lists it as uncharacterized. The record is from RefSeq and is a predicted model, not a curated record. The transcript has 3 exons. Lineage: Eukaryota; Metazoa; Arthropoda; Insecta; Hymenoptera; Agaonidae.
UUCUUGAAGUAUAGUGAAAUACUAUAUGAAAAAUACAAUAAAUGGCAGUGCUUAUAGCUAUUCUGUAUUUAUGAUAGGUGUUUGUAUCGUCGGUAUAUUAUUCCUGAUUUAUAUUUCUAUAAUACAUAUGACUAACUCAUAUCAAACUAUAAUUGCUUAAACGGCGGAAGUGGGAUGUUUACUUCUACGAAAGGGGGAUGACUAAAUGAGAUUGUAAUACGUAUUACAGAUUAUAUAUUACUGGAAACAAAUUCAGGGAGUCAGGGAAAUCCCGACCAAAGAUGGAACGUGAAAAAGUUUACAUGUUGCAUAAGAGAGGAAGAGAUAAACUAGACUUAUUUUUAUAUAAGAUUUUUUACAAAAAUAAAUAACACUCUUUACUAAUACGAAUUUUACACUAUUUUUUAAUAUGAAGAUUUUUUAAUAUAAUUUAUUUUCUUUCUUAGAUAUGCAAGGCUUUAUUACUGUAUGACUAAUAUAUUAUUUCACCUAAUUUAUGUAUAACUACUGUAAAUCAUUGCCAGCAUAGCAAUUGUAUUCAAACAUUCAAAUCCGUCCAAUUUGCACAAACAAUAAAGAGACUAUGGAUCUAUUUAUUGGUGAGUUCUUGAACUACAAGGGACAAUUUCAAAAUCAUACAAUAUAAGAGUUCAUUAGUAAUACUUAAUUCAUCGACUCCACUAUAUAAAAAAAAACCAUUGCAUUGUGCUAUGUAAAAGAUCAUAAGUUAGUAUUUACAAAUAUAAAUCUAACUUCGACGAAAAAUUUACUUGUCAUUAGACUGUAUGUAAACUGUUAGUAUCGUA